GAUGUGGCUGACGAUUACAAUCAACAUCUCACUGAUGUAUUUUUGGCAGAUUGUGAACAAUCAACUGAAUUGGAUAAGGGCCAUGCUGAUCACAAAAGUUUUGUAUCAGGAAAAGAGGAACCCUCAAGUAAAAAA
This is a long non-coding RNA of Amphimedon queenslandica, 135 nucleotides long. RefSeq lists it as uncharacterized. Lineage: Eukaryota; Metazoa; Porifera; Demospongiae; Haplosclerida; Niphatidae. The record is from RefSeq and is a predicted model, not a curated record. The transcript is spliced from 2 exons.